This 497-nucleotide ribosomal RNA is filed under the name uncultured bacterium. RNAcentral's name for it is "partial 16S ribosomal RNA". It matches the Rfam family "Bacterial small subunit ribosomal RNA", at positions 28 to 507 of the family's 1533-position model. The record is from RNAcentral.
GAUGAACGCUGGCGGCGUGCCUAAUACAUGCAAGUCGAGCGAACGGACGAGAAGCUUGCUUCUCUGAUGUUAGCGGCGGACGGGUGAGUAACACGUGGAUAACCUACCUAUAAGACUGGGAUAACUUCGGGAAACCGUAGCUAAUACCGGAUAAUAUUUUGAACCGCAUGGUUCAAAAGUGAAAGACGGUCUUGCUGUCACUUAUAGAUGGAUCCGCGCUGCAUUAGCUAGUUGGUAAGGUAACGGCUUACCAAGGCAACGAUGCAUAGCCGACCUGAGAGGGUGAUCGGCCACACUGGAACUGAGACACGGUCCAGACUCCUACGGGAGGCAGCAGUAGGGAAUAUUCCGCAAUGGGCGAAAGCCUGACGGAGCAACGCCGCGUGAGUGAUGAAGGUCUUCGGAUCGUAAAACUCUGUUAUUAGGGAAGAACAUAUGUGUAAGUAACUGUGCACAUCUUGACGGUACCUAAUGAGAAAGCCACGGCUAACUACGUG